Hyphomicrobium sp. SCN 65-11 is the source of this 74-nucleotide non-coding RNA. The record is from Rfam. Lineage: Bacteria; Pseudomonadati; Pseudomonadota; Alphaproteobacteria; Hyphomicrobiales; Hyphomicrobiaceae.
GCACCCGUAGCUCAGCUGGAUAGAGUGUCGCCCUCCGAAGGCGAAGGUCGUAGGUUCGAAUCCUACCGGGUGCG